Molecule: ribosomal RNA, 714 nt
Filed under: Eiseniella tetraedra
Lineage: Eukaryota; Metazoa; Annelida; Clitellata; Crassiclitellata; Lumbricidae
Description: partial large subunit ribosomal RNA
Rfam family: Eukaryotic large subunit ribosomal RNA (bases 310-714)
Source: RNAcentral
CGUGCGGCGGCCGUACUUUCGGCGGGCGGAGCGCCACGACCGGUUCGUCGGCGGCGAGAAACUCCCGGGCAAGGUGACCUUCGUCUCGGCGCAGGAGCAUACAGGCCCGGUGAGCGUCGGCCCGUCGGUGGACCGAGGAAGACCGUCGCGGAGCGGCGUCGACCGUUCGUCGUGUGUUGGCGUUCGACUCGGGGGGACUGGUUCCAGUGCCCUCGGACCGCGCCGGCGCAGCGGCGGGCGCGCACGGCGUCGCGCCUGGGGUCGGUGGCGAAACGGCCGGCAACCUGUCCGACCCGUCUUGAAACACGGACCAAGGAGUCUAACAUGUGCGCGAGUCGUUGGGCGCUACGAAACCCGAAGGCGCAAUGAAAGUGAAGGCCCGGUCUCCGGCCGGCCUGGGUGGGAUCCCGGCGGUCUCGGCCGUCGGGCGCACCACCGGCCCGUCUCGUUCGUUACGUCGAGGAGGCGGAGCAAGAGCGUACACGUUGGGACCCGAAAGAUGGUGAACUAUGCCCGAGUAGGACGAAGCCAGAGGAAACUCUGGUGGAGGUCCGCAGCGAUUCUGACGUGCAAAUCGAUCGUCAAACUUGGGUAUAGGGGCGAAAGACUAAUCGAACCAUCUAGUAGCUGGUUNCUGUCGAAGUUUCCCUCAGGAUAGCUGGCGCUCGUCGUGAGCAGUUUUAUCCGGUAAAGCGAAUGACUGGAGGCCUUGGG